This is a non-coding RNA of Blastosporella zonata, 87 nucleotides long. The record is from the annotation of a GenBank genome assembly. Lineage: Eukaryota; Fungi; Basidiomycota; Agaricomycetes; Agaricales; Lyophyllaceae.
UCUUUGCUAGUAUAUCGGUUAGUACACGCGCCUGUCAUUGCACCUAAAGGUGCGCGCGAAAGCUGGGUUCGACUCCCAGGCAGAGAG